This 1594-nucleotide long non-coding RNA is filed under the name Salvia miltiorrhiza (redroot sage). RNAcentral's name for it is "long non-coding RNA (SMIL_LNC006636)". The record is from RNAcentral. Lineage: Eukaryota; Viridiplantae; Streptophyta; Magnoliopsida; Lamiales; Lamiaceae.
UCCACUACUGUACCAGCAUCAAGUGGAAGUGGAUCUCUAUUCUUUUCUACUCCUGCUGCUGCCUCAUCAACACCCUCUUUGUUCUCAACCCCCACCAGUUCAGCUCCAUUCUCGUCUUUGUUAGGAACUGCUGCUUCACAGUCAUCACCUUUUAGUUCCUUGUCUGCUUCACAGUCAUCACCUUUUAGUUCCUUGGCUGCUUCAUCAUCUGCCUUUGGUAUUUCCACUCCCAUUAGUUCAACCCCUGCUGGAGCCUCAACAUUUUCAACACCUUUUGCUACAGGUGAGGUGUCACUUUUUUAUUUUUUACUAGGUAUUGAGAUUUCUAUAAAUGCCAAAAUGGACAAUGAAUAGGAGAACAAGGAAUGGAAAAAAAAUGACAAAACUGCUGUCCUUUUGUAAUUUGUUUUUAACUGCUAAAACUAAUUCUUUCAUGCUAAUUGUUAUUGCUGGAUACUAUAAAUUAGCCAGACAACGUAUAAUAUGAUGUUUUGUCUGUUUAGUAUGACUCAAGAUACUCCAAUGCUUUUUUGAGUUUAUGGACUAAAAUCUAAAAUUAUUACUGAAUAGUGUUACUUCUUUAGAAGACGGCUCUGAGAUGUUAUAUAUCACAGGACAAAAGUCACUUAUAUUGCAUGAAAAUAGUAGUGCCAUGCAUGAAUAGUUUUUUGUUGUUUUUAUGCUCUUUUGCUCUAUCUCCCUGAACAACCUUUGUUUUGUGAAUAGGAGCUGCAACUGGGUCUGGAGCAAGCUUUGGAAUGGCAUCAGUAAGUAAACUUGACUUCUCUUCAAUAAAAUUGCCUUCCACUCCCAAAUUAUGUUUUUGCAUGGUUUACAUUAGUUAAACAAGCUUUUAGAGGGUGUUUGGCUGAGCUUAUAAGCUCCUUAAAACAAUUGUAAGCUCUUGAGAAGUGUUUGGUAAAAUAAGUUCAUAAACAACUUAUAAACUGUAAAAAUAAGCUCCCUCAAAAAAUAAGUUCCUCAACUCUCACUUUCCUUUUCAUAAUCUCAUAAGCAACAAUCAUUCUACCAAAGUAACUCUACUAUGGUUUAUUAUUUCCAUUAUAAACCCUUACAAGUUUAUCUAUCUUUAAUUUUCUCUUUCUACCUAGGAUUUUCUUUCUCUAGCUCACAAUUUUCUCUCUAACUUAAAAUAUCAAUCAUCCAAACACUUUGACAACAUAUAAACUCUUGAGACAUUACAUCUUAUAAGCUCUUUAAAAUAAGCUUAGCGAAACACUCCCGUUAAUCAGGCCAAUUGUGAUUCAAGUUUGGAUGAACUGAUCUAGUGAGAUUAUAUACUUUUCAAAACUUAAGCUGUAUGAGAUUUCAAAAUCAUUUACGCUCGUCUCCAUUUAUCCUGCAGAAGGCGAGAGCGAAGAGUCGCACGGGGCGGCGCUAGCGAGGAAGAAUGCACCACCACUGUUACUAUCCAUCUUAUUUGUCUUGACUUACUUAACAUGUAUUUGUUCCAAGUUGAGCUCAGAAACUUGUUUCAUUCGGAUUCUGAAUUUUAUGGCCGGAGGAAAAUCAGAUACGAGUAAAAGCACCUUUUGCCUUUCCUGCUUCUCAGUUUCAGGUUUCUCAAUUCAAU